This 481-nucleotide ribosomal RNA is filed under the name uncultured bacterium. Its description in RNAcentral is "SSU rRNA". It matches the Rfam family "Bacterial small subunit ribosomal RNA", at positions 26 to 518 of the family's 1533-position model. The record is from RNAcentral.
AGGACGAACGCUGGCGGCGUGCCUAACACAUGCAAGUCGAACGCGCUCCAUUCAGUAGCAAUACUGAUGAAGAGCGAGUGGCGAACGGGUGAGUAGCACGUGAGCAACCUGCCCCGAAGACUGGGACAACACCGGGAAACCGGUGCUAAUACCGGAUAUCCCUAUCGGACCGCAUGAUCUGAUAAGGAAAUGGAUUCCGCUUCGGGAGGGGCUCGCGGCCUAUCAGCUAGUUGGUGAGGUAACGGCCCACCAAGGCAUCGACGGGUAGCUGGUCUGAGAGGACGAUCAGCCACACUGGGACUGAGACACGGCCCAGACUCCUACGGGAGGCAGCAGUGGGGAAUCUUGCGCAAUGGGCGAAAGCCUGACGCAGCAACGCCGCGUGGAGGACGAAGGCUUUCUGAGUUGUAAACUCCUUUCAGCAGGGACGAUAGUGACGGUACCUGCAGAAGAGCACCGGCAACUACGCGCCAGCAGCCGG